UAUGCAGAGAAGGCUUUCUUU
This 21-nucleotide non-coding RNA is filed under the name Caenorhabditis elegans. Lineage: Eukaryota; Metazoa; Nematoda; Chromadorea; Rhabditida; Rhabditidae. The record is from RNAcentral.